This 855-nucleotide ribosomal RNA is filed under the name uncultured archaeon. Its description in RNAcentral is "bacterial SSU rRNA". It matches the Rfam family "Archaeal small subunit ribosomal RNA", at positions 63 to 903 of the family's 1478-position model. The record is from RNAcentral.
UGGGAUACCUAAAAAUCCCAUGGCAAACUGCUCAGUAACACAUGAUCAACUUACCCUAUAGAGGAAAAUAACCUCGGGAAACUGAGGAUAAUGUUCCAUAGUUGGAUCGGCUUGGAAAAGUUUUUCAAUAAAAGGGAUAAGAAAAAUGGUUCUUAUCUGCUAUAGGAUAGGAUCGUGCUCGAUUAUGGUUGUUGGUGAGGUAAAGGCUCACCAAGCCGAUAAUCGAUAGGGGCCGUGAGAGCGGGAGCCCCGAGAUGGGUACUGAGACAACGACCCAGGCCUUACGAGGCGCAGCAGGCGCGAAACCUCCGCAAUACACGAAAGUGUGACGGGGUUACCCAAAGUGUUCUAUUUAGAACUGUGGUAGGUGAGUAAUGUCCCCUACUAGAAAGGAGAGGGCAAGGCUGGUGCCAGCCGCCGCGGUAAAACCAGCUCUUCAAGUGGUCGGGAUAAUUAUUGGGCUUAAAGUGUCCGUAGCCGGUUUAGUAAGUUCCUGGUAAAAUCGGGUAGCUUAACUAUCUAUAUGCUAGGAAUACUGCUAUACUAGAGGGCGGGAGAGGUCUGAGGUACUACAGGGGUAGGGGUGAAAUCUUAUAAUCCUUGUAGGACCACCAGUGGCGAAGGCGUCAGACUGGAACGCGCCUGACGGUGAGGGACGAAAGCCAGGGGAGCGAACCGGAUUAGAUACCCGGGUAGUCCUGGCCGUAAGCGAUGCAUACUAGGUGAUGGCACGGCCAUGAGCCGUGUCAGUGCCGUAGGGAAACCGUUAAGUGUGCCGCCUGGGAAGUACGGUCGCAAGGCUAAAACUUAAAGGAAUUGGCGGGGGAGCACCACAAGGGGUGAAGCCUGCGGUUC